Molecule: ribosomal RNA, 535 nt
Filed under: uncultured bacterium
Lineage: Bacteria
Description: partial 16S ribosomal RNA
Rfam family: Bacterial small subunit ribosomal RNA
Source: RNAcentral
UGGGGAAUAUUGCACAAUGGGCGAAAGCCUGAUGCAGCAACGCCGCGUGAGGGACGACGGCCUUCGGGUUGUAAACCUCUUUUAGCAAGGAAGAAGCGAAAGUGACGGUACUUGCAGAAAAAGCGCCGGCUAACUACGUGCCAGCAGCCGCGGUAAUACGUAGGGCGCAAGCGUUAUCCGGAAUUAUUGGGCGUAAAGAGCUCGUAGGCGGUUUGUCGCGUCUGCUGUGAAAACCCGAGGCUCAACCUCGGGCCUGCAGUGGGUACGGGCAGACUAGAGUGCGGUAGGGGAGAUUGGAACUCCUGGUGUAGCGGUGGAAUGCGCAGAUAUCAGGAAGAACACCGAUGGCGAAGGCAGAUCUCUGGGCCGUAACUGACGCUGAGGAGCGAAAGGGUGGGGAGCAAACAGGCUUAGAUACCCUGGUAGUCCACCCGUAAACGUUGGGAACUAGUUGUGGGGUCCACUCCACGGAUUCCGUGACGCAGCUAACGCAUUAAGUUCCCCGCCUGGGGAGUACGGCCGCAAGGCUAAAACU